UGCAGGUUUAAUGUCCUCAUACUGUCUCUUCCACAUGCUCUGCUCAUACAUUAAAAGUAAAUAGUACUGAAACUGGGGGGGAAAAUAAUUCCAACCCAUGCUCACAAUUUAUAUCCUGACCAAUGCUUGCUUAUUUUUAGAACAGAAAGCUAACAUGUGCUCAGUUAUUCUGAUCACUGGAAACAGCUGUAGUAUUUAUGUCUGCAAUAAGCGAUGAAGAAUAUUAG
Molecule: non-coding RNA, 227 nt
Organism: Pelobates cultripes (western spadefoot toad)
Lineage: Eukaryota; Metazoa; Chordata; Amphibia; Anura; Pelobatidae
Source: the annotation of a GenBank genome assembly